RNAcentral lists this transfer RNA (68 nucleotides) under Gonodactylus sp. SIO BIC C12730. RNAcentral's name for it is "tRNA-Ile". Lineage: Eukaryota; Metazoa; Arthropoda; Malacostraca; Stomatopoda; Gonodactylidae. The record is from RNAcentral.
AAUGAAGUGCCUGAAAAAGGAUUAUCUUGAUAGGAUAAAUUAUGUAGAUACUGACUUUACCUUCAUUA